Molecule: long non-coding RNA, 1253 nt
Organism: Neopsephotus bourkii (Bourke's parrot)
Lineage: Eukaryota; Metazoa; Chordata; Aves; Psittaciformes; Psittacidae
Exons: 3
Source: RefSeq, a predicted model, not a curated record
AUUCAGACUUUCUCAUUAUCUGAUCUCCGGGUUGGUUCAUUCUUUUUCCGUGUAGCUGGCUAUCUAUCACAUUUGACAGAGAGAUUGCUAUGACAAAAUGCUAAAAGCUUUUGCUCUGGGCUAUUUUUAAUCCACUGCAGGUGAAAGAUCAGAACACAUUUUUGGAAGAUUUAUGGGCCAGUGUUGUGCUGGGCAGCAUAAAUGGGAGUUGACAAACUACAGGACACGAGGUUUAAGCCAUUGACCUCUGACAUUAGGAGUCAUCACAACUCCAUACAAAUUGAAUUCCAGAUAGCAAAUUAGAAUGUCACUGUCAUCUCUGUAAGCAAACUUCUGACAAUUUAGCCUAGGCAGAGGGAGAAAAGCAGCAGUGAGCUGAGGUGGAUACUUCUUUAGCAAAAUGCAGGAUUUUAGCAGUGCACAAGGACAGUCCUCUCAUAGCCUGGUCAGAAGCCGAGAUGGGUUACUGGGCUUUGAAUGGCACUUAGCCUCUCUGGACACUGAUGUCAGUUGGAUGUCCUAGAUAUUGCUGUAUUAAAAGCAUAAAGUUAGGCUUAAUGCACGAACAGAGAGACAAGGCAGAGGCAACAGAGACAGAUGUCUCUUCCUCAGAGCCCUUCUACUGGGUGAGACUGUUUCUGAUUACAGCUGUAGCACUGUAAAUGCCUGCUAGAUGUCUGGUGAUAAUCCAUUCAAAGCAAUUACAAGGCAUCCGUCACCAGCAGGGUCUGAGCCACAGGCUUCUUAUCUGGGAAAAUUGAUGGAAGAGAAGGGGGGAGUGAGGGAAGAAAUCAAUGCCUUUCACCAAUGUUAUCUGCCAAAUUGAAUUAAGCAGCACGGGAUCCCUGCUUUACACACUGCAAGAGCUGGAGGUUGAAGAGUCUGUUUGUAGUAAGCUUGAGUUCAUGGGCAAGGCAGGUAGGAGCUGAGUGUUGGUUCUACUCACUGGCAAUUUCUUGGGCACCUACUGAUGUCAGUGGAACUCGUGUGUGCAAAACGAGUUCAGAACUUAGCAGCACCCAGAGCCGUUAACCUGGUAGCACCACUUGUGACUCUUGUGUCUGCUUAUGGUCUUAAUGUAUCGUCUCAUGUUCUUUUACUUUUUUUCUGGGUGUAGCCAAGAGUAUCUCGUUGCUUGCCACAUCCGAGUUUAUACAGGCAAGGGUUGUAGAGAAAGCAACAGCAAAGAUACACGAAUGGGUUCCUCGGAGACAGUGCUAGCAAAACUAGUGUUUAGAGGUGGUGCAUGUGUU